AAUGAACGCUGGCGGCGUGCCUAAUACAUGCAAGUCGAGCGAACAGACGAGGCGCGUGCUCCUAUGACGCUACGGGCGGGCGGGUAAUUAACAGGUAGAUUACCUAUCUUUAGGGCUUGGGUAAGUUAACGGGACCGGAGCUCAUACACGACAAGAUAUUGAACGGGAGGGUUCUAUAGAGCAAACCGGUUUAGCUGACCCUAAUAGAUUUAUCCGCGCUGCUUUAGCUAGUGGGUAGCGUGACGGCGUACCAAGGCAACGAUGCGCAGCCGGCCUGAGAGGGGGACCAGCCACACUCGAACUGAGACACGGUCCAGACUCCUACGGGAGGCAGCAGUAGGGAAUAUUCCGCAAUGGGCGAAAGCCUGAUGGAGCAAGGCCGCGUGUGUGAUGAAGGUCUUCGGAUCGUAAAACUCUUUUAUUAGGGAAGAACAGAAGUAAAUGAAACUAUGCCAGUCUUGACGGUAACUAAUGAGAAAGCACCGGCUAACUUCGUG
Molecule: ribosomal RNA, 497 nt
Filed under: uncultured bacterium
Lineage: Bacteria
Description: partial 16S ribosomal RNA
Rfam family: Bacterial small subunit ribosomal RNA
Source: RNAcentral